RNAcentral lists this transfer RNA (76 nucleotides) under Acinetobacter baumannii. RNAcentral's name for it is "tRNA-Gly". It matches the Rfam family "tRNA". Rfam says of the family: Transfer RNA (tRNA) molecules are approximately 80 nucleotides in length. Their secondary structure includes four short double-helical elements and three loops (D, anti-codon, and T loops). The record is from RNAcentral. Lineage: Bacteria; Pseudomonadati; Pseudomonadota; Gammaproteobacteria; Moraxellales; Moraxellaceae.
GCGGGAAUAGCUCAGUUGGUAGAGCAUAACCAUGCCAAGGUUGGGGUCGCGAGUUCGAGUCUCGUUUCCCGCUCCA